Molecule: ribosomal RNA, 402 nt
Filed under: uncultured bacterium
Lineage: Bacteria
Description: bacterial LSU rRNA
Rfam family: Bacterial large subunit ribosomal RNA
Source: RNAcentral
UUCGGUCGGCUGCGACUUCGUUAACCAAAAACACAGCACUUCUGACAAACACGAAAGUGGACGUAGUAGGGUGUGACGCCUGCCCGGUGCCGGAAGGUUAAAAUGAUGGGGUGCAAGCUCUUGAUUGAAGCCCCGGUAAAACGGCGGCCGUAACAAAUAACGGUCCUAAGGUAGCGAAAUUCCUUGUCGGGUAAGUUCCGACCUGCACGAAUGGCGUAACGAUGGCCACACUGUACUCCUCCCCGAGACUCAGCGAAGUUGAAAAUGUUUUGUGAUGAUGCAAUCUACCCGCGGCUAGACGGAAAGACCCCAUGAACCUUUACUGUAGCUUUGCAUUGGACUGUGAACCGAUCUGUGUAGGAUAGGUGGGGAGGCUUUGAAGCCGGGACGCUAGUUCUGGUG